RNAcentral lists this ribosomal RNA (119 nucleotides) under Pteropus alecto (black flying fox). RNAcentral also lists the same sequence under 1 other name. The record is from RNAcentral. Lineage: Eukaryota; Metazoa; Chordata; Mammalia; Chiroptera; Pteropodidae.
GUCUAUGGCUAUGCUACCCUGAACAAGCCCAAUCCUGUCUGAUCUCAGAAGCUAAGCAGGGUCGGGCCUGGUUAGUACUUGGAUGGGAGACCACCUAGGAAGACCAGGUGCUGUAGGCA